UACAUAGGUGGCAAGCGUUGUUCGGAAUUACUGGGCGUAAAGGGCGCGUAGGCGGUUCGUUAAGUCCUGUGUGAAAUCCCCCGGCUCAACUGGGGAACUGCACAGGAAACUAGCGGGCUUGAGUUCGGGAGAGGGGUGCGGAAUUCCGGGUGUAGUGGUGAAAUGCGUAGAGAUCCGGAGGAACACCAGAGGCGAAGGCGGCACCCUGGCCUAAUACUGACACUGAGACGCGAAAGCAUGGGGAGCGAACGGG
Molecule: ribosomal RNA, 253 nt
Filed under: uncultured bacterium
Lineage: Bacteria
Description: partial 16S ribosomal RNA
Rfam family: Bacterial small subunit ribosomal RNA
Source: RNAcentral